RNAcentral lists this long non-coding RNA (937 nucleotides) under Bos taurus (domestic cattle). RNAcentral's name for it is "long non-coding RNA NONBTAT007484". The record is from RNAcentral. Lineage: Eukaryota; Metazoa; Chordata; Mammalia; Artiodactyla; Bovidae.
GUGGCUGCAGGAAGGAACAGCACCAUUGUGACAAAAUUCAUCCUCCUGGGAUUUUCAGGGCAGCCUGAAAUGAAGAUUUUUCUUUUUGCAUUAUUUCUGGGCAUUUACCUCCUGACCCUCGCCUGGAACCCGAGCCUCAUCGCCCUCGUCAGGAUGGACUCCACCUGCACACGCCCGUGGCCGUCUUCCUCAGUAACCUGUCCUUCCUGGAUGUCUGUAUGUGUCCUCCACAGCCGCCAAGACGCUCUCUGACAUCAUCCCGGAGCGGAAAACCGUCUCCUCGGUGGGCUGUGCCGUGCAGUGCUUAGUCUUCUGCGGGCUGGGGCUGGCUGCCUGCUUCCUGUUGGCGGCCAUGGCACUUGAUCGCGGUGCUGCGAUGUGCAGCCCGCUGCCCUACACGGUCCUCGUAUCUCACACCCUUUGUUUAAAGAAGGCAGCCGGAGCCUACUUGGGUGGGUUCCUCAGUUCUUUGAUUGACACCUGCUCCGUCUAUCAGCACGAUUUCUGUGGGCCCAACGUGAUCAACCACCUCUUCUGUGACCUUCCUCCAGUCCUGGUUCCAUCUUGCUGAUACUUUUGCCAGCCGGGUGGUGACCUUCCUCAUGGGUGUGGGUGUUGGGGUGCUGUCUGUCCUUGUGAUCCUCAUCUUUUAUGGUUGCAUUGCUGCUGCUGUCCUAUCAGGUCAGCUAGAGGGAGGACCAAGGCCUUCAGCACCUGUGCCUCUCAUCUGACUGCUGGGACCCUCUUCUAUGGUUCUGGUCUCUUCAUGUACAUGCGACCUAGUUCCAGCUACUCCCUGGACCAGGACAAGGUGGUGUCCAUAGUCUCUGCUCUGGUGAUUCCUAUGAUAAAUCCCAUCAUCUACAGUCUUAGGAACAAGGACAUUAAAAAUGCCAUGAGGAAAGCUGUGCAAAGGGAUUAUGUAAUUUUUCAUGGG